This 287-nucleotide ribosomal RNA is filed under the name uncultured bacterium. Its description in RNAcentral is "partial 16S ribosomal RNA". It matches the Rfam family "Bacterial small subunit ribosomal RNA", at positions 337 to 620 of the family's 1533-position model. The record is from RNAcentral.
GCCUACGGGAGGCAGUAGUGAGGAAUAUUGGUCGAUGGGCUUACGCCUGAACCAGCCAAGUCGCGUGAGGGAAGACUGCCCUAUGGGUUGUAAACCUCUUUUGUCAGGGGGCAACGCCGGCUACGUGUAGCCGGACUGAGAAUACCUGAAGAAAAAGCACCGGCUAACUCCGUGCCAGCAGCCGCGGUAAUACGGAGGAUGCGAGCGUUAUCCGGAUUUAUUGGGUUUAAAGGGUGCGUAGGCGGAAUGCCAAGUCAGCGGUAAAAUCGCGGGGCUCAACCUCGCUC